CUUUCCUCUUCCAGCUGUAUCAACGCGAUGGAUGAGAAUUUGGCAUCUAAACCUGACCGCCCCGUCCGCGAGAGGGAAGAGGAGGAAAGCAAGGAAGUAGAGAAAAAGGGAGGCGAGGUCAUCACAUCCUCUGCUGAACGCAAAGAAAAUCACAAAAAAAAAAAAAAAGGGCAGAACUACUCCAGAGGAUGAGCUUGCUGUACGACCCGCUCGCUGGCAGAAAGAAGAAAGCCCGGUUUCGUGAAACAGACUAUAAACAAUGGUCGGCAGCAUUCCAAUGAAAAGGUACACCGUUCAAUUUACCAUCGGGUCAUCUGCUUGUGGCUGACCAUCAGAGAAAAUAAAAUAAAAUAA
Long non-coding RNA from Penaeus monodon (black tiger shrimp), 354 nucleotides. RefSeq lists it as uncharacterized. The record is from RefSeq and is a predicted model, not a curated record. NCBI's taxonomy places the organism in Eukaryota, Metazoa, Arthropoda, Malacostraca, Decapoda, Penaeidae. The transcript has 4 exons.